CGGCAAAAGCUCAAAUUUGAAAUCUAGUACCUUCGGUGCUCGAGUUGUAAUUUGUAGAAGGUAUCUUGGAAUGGUGGCUGGCCUAUGUUCCUUGGAAAAGGACGUCAUAGAGGGUGAGAACCCCGUAUGGCUGGGCGUGCUGUUCCUUGUAAGAUUCCUUCGAC
This 164-nucleotide ribosomal RNA is filed under the name Grigorovia yakushimaensis. Its description in RNAcentral is "Kazachstania yakushimaensis partial large subunit ribosomal RNA". It matches the Rfam family "Eukaryotic large subunit ribosomal RNA", at positions 99 to 261 of the family's 3401-position model. Lineage: Eukaryota; Fungi; Ascomycota; Saccharomycetes; Saccharomycetales; Saccharomycetaceae. The record is from RNAcentral.